RNAcentral lists this ribosomal RNA (459 nucleotides) under uncultured bacterium. RNAcentral's name for it is "partial 16S ribosomal RNA". It matches the Rfam family "Bacterial small subunit ribosomal RNA", at positions 338 to 795 of the family's 1533-position model. The record is from RNAcentral.
CCUACGGGAGGCAGCAGUGAGGAAUAUUGGUCAAUGGACGAGAGUCUGAACCAGCCAAGUAGCGUGAAGGAUGACUGCCCUAUGGGUUGUAAACUUCUUUUAUAAAGGACUAAAACGAGGCACGUGUGCCUUUUUGCAUGUACUUUAUGAAAAAGCAUCGGCUAACUCCGUGCCAGCAGCCGCGGUAAUAGGGAGGAUGCGAGCUUUAUCCGGUUUUAUUGGGUUUAAAGGGUGCGUAGGCGCGCGUUUACGUCAGCGGUAAAAAUUCGGGGCUAAACCCCGUCGGGCCGUUGAAACUGGGGGCCUUGAGUGGGCGAGAAGAAGGCGGAAUGCGUGGUGUAGCGGUGAAAUGCAUAGAUAUCACGCAGAACCCCGAUUGCGAAGGCAGCCUUCCGGCGCCCUACUGACGCUGAGGCACGAAAGUGCGGGGAUCGAACAGGAUUAGAUACCCUUGUAGUC